This 248-nucleotide ribosomal RNA is filed under the name uncultured bacterium. RNAcentral describes it as "partial 16S ribosomal RNA". It matches the Rfam family "Bacterial small subunit ribosomal RNA", at positions 524 to 771 of the family's 1533-position model. The record is from RNAcentral.
UACAGGGGGUGCAAACGUUGCUCGGAAUUAUUGGGCGUAAAGCGCGCGUAGGCGGCUACUUAAGUCGGAUGUGAAAGCCCUUGGCUCAACUGAGGAAGUGCACCCGAAACUGAGUGGCUUGAGUACUAAAGAGGGUCGCGGAAUUCCCGGUGUAGAGGUGAAAUUCGUAGAUAUCGGGAGGAACACCGGUGGCGAAGGCGGCUGACUGGACACAUAUUGACGCUGAGGCUCGAAAGCAUGGGGAGCAA